AGAAUGAAAAAGUGAUGAAAAAAAAAGGAAAAGAAAGAAAAGUGAUGAAGGAAGCUUCACGUGAAUCAUUGUUUUUCUUUCAUAUUACUUCAUAUCACCACUACUCAUAUUUCUUCAUAAUACAUCAUUAACCAUCAUCAUCCUUUCUUUUCUCAACACACCAACUUGUUUUCUUUCAGCAACUUUACUACACAUAAAAUUAUUACCCCAUAUUCUUCAUCCAAACUACCACCAUCUAACCAAAGAUACACACACAUUUCCUCUACACCAGCGGCACAUAUGAGUCAGUGCAAAGAAAAAGGAUAAUGCGAUUUCAAUGGUUUCUGAUCUUCAGCACGUGUUUUAAUCUUCUUCAAAUUUUGGAUAUUCAAUACAAUAGUAUAAGAGGCACAUUUCCCUUAUGUUAGUCAAUAUAACCACGUUGUCAGUGCUUGAUCUUUCUAGCAAUGCACUUUCCGGUGAAGUUCUGCCAUACAUAGGAAAGCUACCUUCACUUUUCAGCUCAACAAAACAACAUUGCAUGGUUCGACAACUUCACAACAAUUUUCUUUUACGUUCUGUUUUGUAUUUAGUGUUUGUGUAUGCUGGAUUUUGAUUUUGUUUGUGUUUAUUUUGUAAGUUGGAUUUAUACAUGGAUUAGACAUUACUCGUAUGCUGCUACGCCGUUGGAUUUUUUAUUUGAGAUAUUGAUAUGAUAUUUUAUCGCGUUACAAUCCUUGUGUGUGAUAUUUCCCUUUUGUUGUUGCUACGUAUAAAUCAGCUUUGAAUAUAUUAUGUUUAGUUUUGUAUAUGUACUUUUGUGAUAUUUCUCAUUUUAAUUUCGAUUUGUGAUGUUGACAUCAUUACGGUUUGGUGUGUUUGUUUUACCAUUGUGCGCAUUGAGCUUCACUUCAUUACAAUUUCAAUUCUUUGCAUUAUGAUUUUGUUCUUAAUUCGAUUCAUUUUGCGAUGAUAAACUUCAUGUUAGCAAUUCAUUCGAUUCAUGGUAAACAUGCAACGAUUCAACCUCGUUACUUUUAAAUAGGAUUCAAAUUUUACUUUUGUUAGUUUUGCACAUCUUUGCGUUACGCGACAUUGAUUCACAUCCUCACAUCAUGAUCUUGAUCUGUGUAUGUUUCAUUUUUAUUUACUUUCUUCGAUUCAAUUAUAAUGAAUGUGUUGUGUGCACUUUUAUCUCUUGUAUCUGGUUUUAAUUUGUAUUGAUUUUACUUCUAUUGGCUAUCCUUAUUUCAUUCCCCAUUCGACAAGAUGUAUUCCCCAACCCCGAAUUGUAUUAUUUAGCUAAUUUUGUUGCUUUC
This 1298-nucleotide long non-coding RNA is filed under the name Lathyrus oleraceus (garden pea). RNAcentral describes it as "Pisum sativum (pea) long non-coding RNA (PSAT_LNC016672)". The record is from RNAcentral. Lineage: Eukaryota; Viridiplantae; Streptophyta; Magnoliopsida; Fabales; Fabaceae.